GAACUUACCUGGCAGGGGAAACACCAUGAUCAUGAAGGUGGUUUUCCCAGGGCGAGGCUUAUCCAUUGCAGUCCGGAUGUGCUGACCCCUGCGAUUUCCCCAAAUGUGGGAAACUCGACUGCGUUACUCGUGGUAGUGGGGGACUGCACUGGGAGGAUCCCUU
This 163-nucleotide small nuclear RNA is filed under the name Aotus nancymaae (Ma's night monkey). RNAcentral's name for it is "U1 spliceosomal RNA (ENSANAG00000018965.1)". It matches the Rfam family "U1 spliceosomal RNA". From Rfam's summary of the family: U1 is a small nuclear RNA (snRNA) component of the spliceosome (involved in pre-mRNA splicing). Its 5' end forms complementary base pairs with the 5' splice junction, thus defining the 5' donor site of an intron. There are significant differences in sequence and secondary structure between metazoan and yeast U1 snRNAs, the latter being much longer (568 nucleotides as compared to 164 nucleotides in human). The record is from Rfam by way of RNAcentral. Lineage: Eukaryota; Metazoa; Chordata; Mammalia; Primates; Aotidae.